Molecule: ribosomal RNA, 253 nt
Filed under: uncultured bacterium
Lineage: Bacteria
Description: partial 16S ribosomal RNA
Rfam family: Bacterial small subunit ribosomal RNA
Source: RNAcentral
AAAGUAGGAGACGAGAGUUAUCCGGAUUUACUGGGUGUAAAGCGCGUGCAGGAGGCUCGAUAAGUUGGAUGUGAAAGCUCCCGGCUCAACUGGGAGAGGUCGUUCAAGACUGUCGGGCUUGAGAGUGGUAGGGGAAGGUGGAAUUCCGGGUGUAGUGGUGAAAUGCGUAGAUAUCCGGAGGAACACCAGUGGCGAAGGCGGCCUUCUGGACCACAUCUGACGCUCAGACGCGAAAGCUAGGGUAGCAAACGGG